GGGGCGGACCGCUCAGUGGUAGAGCGCAUGCUUAGCAUGCAUGAGGUCCUGGGUUCAAUCCCCAGCACCUCCA
Molecule: transfer RNA, 73 nt
Filed under: Camelus bactrianus (Bactrian camel)
Lineage: Eukaryota; Metazoa; Chordata; Mammalia; Artiodactyla; Camelidae
Also listed under: 1 other name
Rfam family: tRNA
About the family: Transfer RNA (tRNA) molecules are approximately 80 nucleotides in length. Their secondary structure includes four short double-helical elements and three loops (D, anti-codon, and T loops). Further hydrogen bonds mediate the characteristic L-shaped molecular structure. tRNAs have two regions of fundamental functional importance: the anti-codon, which is responsible for specific mRNA codon recognition, and the 3' end, to which the tRNAs corresponding amino acid is attached (by aminoacyl-tRNA synthetases). tRNAs cope with the degeneracy of the genetic code in two manners: having more than one tRNA (with a specific anti-codon) for a particular amino acid; and 'wobble' base-pairing, i.e. permitting non-standard base-pairing at the 3rd anti-codon position.
Source: Rfam by way of RNAcentral